GACGAACGCUGGCGGCGUGCUUAACACAUGCAAGUGGAGCGACGAACCAGAGCUUGCUCUGGGGCAAAGCCGCGAACGGGUGAGUAACACGUGGGUAACCUGCCCUGAUGAUUGGGACAACCCGAGGAAACUCGGGCUAAUACCAAAUGUGCUUUCCGGUCUUAAGGCCGGUUCGGAAAGGUAGCUUCGGCUUCCGCAUCAGGAUGGGCCCGCGGCCCAUUAGCUUGUUGGUGAGGUAACGGCUCACCAAGGCUUCGAUGGGUAGCUGGUCUGAGAGGACGAUCAGCCACACUGGGACUGAGACACGGCCCAGACUCCUACGGGAGGCAGCAGUGGGGAAUCUUGCGCAAUGCGCGAAAGCGUGACGCAGCAACGCCGCGUGGGGGAAGACGGCCUUCGGGUUGUAAACCCCUUUCAGUUGGGACGAAGCUUCGGCGGUGAAUAGCCGUUCGGAGUGACGGUACCUUCAGAAGAAGCCCCGGCUAACUACGUGCCAGCCGCCGCAGUAACAC
This 512-nucleotide ribosomal RNA is filed under the name uncultured bacterium. RNAcentral describes it as "bacterial SSU rRNA". It matches the Rfam family "Bacterial small subunit ribosomal RNA", at positions 28 to 526 of the family's 1533-position model. The record is from RNAcentral.